GAUCCAAGGUUAACCCUUGACUCAACCACAUUGAGCAACAUGGAGCCCACUUUAGAUCCAGUCAUGUUGGACUGCUUGGAGUCCACUUCCAGAAAAACCAGAACUGAACCAACUGAUUCCCAGCAGAACACCGCACCUAAAGCCAGUACAGCUUCUUUAAAGUUCUCCAAUAAAAAGAAAGCUGGAAAGGAGAGAAGCAAGUGGAGAGAUGAGGAAAUAACUGCAGUUGAACGACACCUGUUACCUUUCAUCACUGGUUUCAAGGUACCAGGUAAACGGGACUGUGAGGCGUGCCUCCAGGCAGAGCCAGUAGCUCUAAAGGACAGAGACUGGGCUGCUGUCAAAUUCUAUAUUUACAACAGAGUGGUGGCAUUAAAAAGAAGAUUGAACAAAUAGAACUGUAAAAUUGUGACAAAUUCUGAGGUGCAAUUUUAUUUUUGAUGGACAUUUUAAUGUAUUU
Molecule: long non-coding RNA, 460 nt
Organism: Oryzias melastigma (Indian medaka)
Lineage: Eukaryota; Metazoa; Chordata; Actinopteri; Beloniformes; Adrianichthyidae
Exons: 3
Source: RefSeq, a predicted model, not a curated record